UCCCUUUUAGCUCAGACGGUAAAGUGUGUGCCUACAAUGCAGAAGACCCGGGUUCGAUCCCUGGAUCGGGAA
RNAcentral lists this transfer RNA (72 nucleotides) under Ovis aries (sheep). It matches the Rfam family "tRNA". Rfam says of the family: Transfer RNA (tRNA) molecules are approximately 80 nucleotides in length. Their secondary structure includes four short double-helical elements and three loops (D, anti-codon, and T loops). Lineage: Eukaryota; Metazoa; Chordata; Mammalia; Artiodactyla; Bovidae. The record is from Rfam by way of RNAcentral.